UUGUGGGGUGACGGCGUGCCUAUCGAAAAAUGAGUCUGCGAGUCAGUGGCGGGUGGCGAGCAUAAGCCGUGUGGCGUAUGCGUAGCGAAAGCGAGUCUUAAAAGGCGUUUGUAGUCGCUUGUCCUGGACCCGAAGCGGGAUGAUCUAGCCCUGGGCAGGUUGAAGCGCGGGUAAGACCGCGUGGAGGACCGAACCCACCUGGGUUGAAAACCGGGGGGAUGACCUGGGGCUAGGGGUGAAAGGCCAAUCAAAUUCCGUGAUAGCUGGUUCUCUCCGAAAUGCAUUUAGGUGCAGCGUCGGUCGAUUGCGUCGCGGGGGUAGAGCUACCGGAUGCUUGCGGGCCCUUGUUGGGUACCAACAGCAGCCGAACUCCGAAUACCGUUGACGUGUAUUCCGGCAGUGAGUCGGCGGGGGAUAAGCUCCGUCGUCGAGAGGGAGACAGCCCAGACCGUCGUCUAAGGUCCCGAAGCGUGUGCUAAGUGGGAAAGGAUGUGGAGUCGCAUAGACAGCCAGGAGGUUGGCUCAGAAGCAGCCAUCCUUGAAAGAGUGCGUAACAGCUCACUGGUCUAGUGGUUCCGCGCCGACAAUGUAGCGGGGCUCAAGCACACCACCGAAGACGCGGCAGCAAUCUUCAUGGUUGCUGGGUAGGAGAGCGUCCUGCGAGGGGCGAAGCGGCGGUGGAAACCGGCCGUGGACUUCGUGGGAGUGAGAAUGCAGACAUGAGUAGCGAGAGACGGGUGAGGAUCCCGUCCGCUGGAUGACCAAGGGUUCCGGGGCCACGUUCGUCGUCCCCGGGUGAGUCGGGUCCUAAGGCGAGGCCGACAGGCGUAGUCGAAUGGAUGAACGGGUGGAUAUUCCCGUACCGACCAUGGACCGGCAAAACCGAGACGGUGAGUACUAACCUCCGCCUCGUGGUGGUUCCUUCCUUCGGGUUGGUUCCGCCGCGUGGUGUUGGGAGCGUAGCCGCAGUAGGUCAGCGCAGGGGUGACACGGAAUGGGAGCCGGCCGCGGAGGUGGUUUUCCGUGGUCAAGCACGCAGCCAGUCAUGUAGGCAAAUCCGCAUGGCGCGCAUGGCGAGGUGUGAUGAUGGGAGCCUUUUGGGCUCGAUAUCCGGUUGUCCAGGCCGUCGAGAAAAGCCUCGGCGUGAGGGCCAUGGCCGCCCGUACCCCAAACCGACACUGGUGGUCAGGUAGAGAAUACCAAGGCGAUCGAGCGAAUCCUGGUCAAGGAACUCGGCAAAUCACUCCCGUGCCUUCGGUAUAAGGGAGACCCGCUGGGGUGAACCGGCUAGCCCGGGGAGCUUUGGUGGGUGGCACAGACCAGGGGGUAGCGACUGUUUACCAAAAACACAGGUGCAUGCGAAGGCGAAAGCCGCUGUAUAUGCACUGACGCCUGCCCGGUGCCGGAAGGUUAAGAGGAUCCGUCAACUCUUCGGAGCGAAGCGGUGAAUUCAAGCCCCGGUAAACGGCGGUGGUAACUAUAACCAUCCUAAGGUAGCGAAAUUCCUUGUCGGGUAAGUUCCGACCUGCACGAAUGGCGUAA
This 1542-nucleotide ribosomal RNA is filed under the name human gut metagenome. Its description in RNAcentral is "bacterial LSU rRNA". It matches the Rfam family "Bacterial large subunit ribosomal RNA", at positions 586 to 2004 of the family's 2925-position model. The record is from RNAcentral.